Molecule: long non-coding RNA, 1048 nt
Organism: Grus americana (Whooping crane)
Lineage: Eukaryota; Metazoa; Chordata; Aves; Gruiformes; Gruidae
Exons: 3
Source: RefSeq, a predicted model, not a curated record
ACGCAACAGCAGCACAGGCACCGGGGCUUACAGGGCAAGAUUCCCCUGCAGAGCUGGUGGAUCCAAGGGAGACAUCAUUUUGUUACCUACACAUGGCCUGACAAAAGGCUCCGAAAAAACAGGCUGAAGAAGAUGUAAAUCCCCCAGAAGAUCAGGGGCAUGACCUUACAGUAAUGCUGGGAGCUGGUGUCUUCACCGCCUGGGAGAAGAGCUGGGCCACCCUGAAGUAUCCUGAAGGAGAGCUUUUUCUGUGGGUGGUUGUUUUUUUUUUUUUCUACAGAUAGCAAAAGAUUUAAAACAGGGGGUGCAUUCCCAAAUCAUUGAUGGUGCCAAGGCCACCUCCAGUUGAAGAACACUGCCUUUGCAAUCAUUUCUCCCUCAAAAGACUGCAGGUGGACAAUGCAGCUUAAUAAUACUGAACCGGGCAUCUGAUCGCGAUGCUCCGGUUAUUGCAGCAGGCAUAACAGGGAUUGCAACCCAGCAUCGGGAGAAAGAGCACAUAAAACCUUCAGAAACGUUUGUCAAGAUUUCCCCUUAUACUUGCAGAUGUUAAAACCAGAGGCACAGAAGCAGAGGACUCAACACAUAUGCUAACGGAUACCAAGUGCUAAAAUGAUUUCUAAUAUGAAUGCCUAUAAAAUAAAACUGAUAUUUCUGUAAACACUUUUCUGACACUUUGUCCCCCCGUAAACCCUCCCUAAUGCCUGUGCUUUUUAAUGUUAACUUUAUCUUAAAAUUUUUUAGAAUCGGAAUCACUAAUACAGCUGCUUGACAAUGAACGUAGCAAAUCUAUUCAAAAUUGUGUAACAGUUUUGACAAAUACUUUUCUUUGUUUGGAAAGUGCUCGUUUUAACUAAUCAACACUCAUCAUUAUGUGUCUGGACAUGCUAAUCACCUAGUAUUUUUUCCAUUCCCUGACUGGGAGUCUGUAAGUUAUAGUAAGGAAGAUAAAUGUGUGAGUAAACAUGUGUUUGAAUAUUUCUCAGAGUUACUCUUGACAAAAAUUGUAUGUAUUCGGUGAUUCAAAACCAUAUGUAUAAGUAUCCAC